AUGAACGCUGGCGGCGUGCCUAAUACAUGCAAGUCGAGCGAACAGACGAGGAGCUUGCUCCUCUGACGUUAGCGGCGGACGGGUGAGUAACACGUGGAUAACCUACCUAUAAGACUGGGAUAACUUCGGGAAACCGGAGCUAAUACCGGAUAAUAUAUUGAACCGCAUGGUUCAAUAGUGAAAGACGGUUUUGCUGUCACUUAUAGAUGGAUCCGCGCCGCAUUAGCUAGUUGGUAAGGUAACGGCUUACCAAGGCGACGAUGCGUAGCCGACCUGAGAGGGUGAUCGGCCACACUGGAACUGAGACACGGUCCAGACUCCUACGGGAGGCAGCAGUAGGGAAUCUUCCGCAAUGGGCGAAAGCCUGACGGAGCAACGCCGCGUGAGUGAUGAAGGUCUUCGGAUCGUAAAACUCUGUUAUUAGGGAAGAACAAAUGUGUAAGUAACUAAGCACGUCUUGACGGUACCUAAUCAGAAAGCCACGGCUAACUACGUG
Molecule: ribosomal RNA, 496 nt
Filed under: uncultured bacterium
Lineage: Bacteria
Description: partial 16S ribosomal RNA
Rfam family: Bacterial small subunit ribosomal RNA
Source: RNAcentral